GACGAACGCUGGCGGCGUGCCUAAUACAUGCAAGUCGAGCGGAAGUUGAAGAGCUUGCUCUUCAACUUUAGCGGCGGACGGGUGAGUAACACGUGGGCAACCUGCCCUGCAGAUCGGGAUAACUCCGGGAAACCGGUGCUAAUACCGAAUAGUUUUCGCCACCUCCUGGUGGCGUACGGAAAGACGGUUUCGGCUGUCACUGCAGGAUGGGCCCGCGGCGCAUUAGCUAGUUGGGGGGGUAACGGCCCACCAAGGCAACGAUGCGUAGCCGACCUGAGAGGGUGAUCGGCCACACUGGGACUGAGACACGGCCCAGACUCCUACGGGAGGCAGCAGUAGGGAAUCUUCUGCAAUGGACGAAAGUCUGAUGGAGCAACGCCGCGUGAGUGACGAAGGUUUUCGGAUCGUAAAACUCUGUUGUGAGGGAAGAACAAGUACCAACUAACUACUGGUACCUUGACGGUACCUCACCAGAAAGCCACGGCUAACUACGUGCCAGCCGCCGCAGUAA
This 511-nucleotide ribosomal RNA is filed under the name uncultured bacterium. RNAcentral describes it as "partial 16S ribosomal RNA". It matches the Rfam family "Bacterial small subunit ribosomal RNA", at positions 28 to 523 of the family's 1533-position model. The record is from RNAcentral.